UCCCUCGUAGCUCAGUUGAUAAAGAAUCUGCCUGCAAUGCAGAAGACCUGGGUUUGAUUCCUGGGUUGGGAA
Molecule: transfer RNA, 72 nt
Filed under: Ovis aries (sheep)
Lineage: Eukaryota; Metazoa; Chordata; Mammalia; Artiodactyla; Bovidae
Rfam family: tRNA
About the family: Transfer RNA (tRNA) molecules are approximately 80 nucleotides in length. Their secondary structure includes four short double-helical elements and three loops (D, anti-codon, and T loops).
Source: Rfam by way of RNAcentral